Molecule: ribosomal RNA, 480 nt
Filed under: uncultured bacterium
Lineage: Bacteria
Description: partial 16S ribosomal RNA
Rfam family: Bacterial small subunit ribosomal RNA
Source: RNAcentral
GACGAACGCUGGCGGCGCGCUUAACACAUGCAAGUCGAGCGAUGAAACUUUAACAGACCCCUUCGGGGCGAAGAUAAAGUGGAUUAGCGGCGGACGGGUGAGUAACACGUGAGUAACCUGCCUUAGACAUUGGGAUAGCCUCGGGAAACCGGGAUUAAUACCAAAUAAAAUCAUAAUGACACAUGUCAUAACGAUCAAAACUCCGGUGGUCUAAGAUGGACUUGCGUCCCAUUAGCUAGUUGGUAGAGUAAAAGCCUACCAAGGCGACGAUGGGUAGCCGGCGGGGGGGGGGGAACGGCAAAUUUGGAAAAGAGACCGGGUCAAAUCUCCGGGGGAGGGGGGCGGGGGGAAUUAUUGAAAAAGGGGGGAGAUUCGGAGCACGCGCCGCGGGGGAAAGAAAGAGGCUUUACGGUGAGAAAAUUCUUUUUAUAGGGAAAAAAAAGGAGGGACAAAAAAAAAAAGGCCCCCCCAAAUCCCGUC